GUGCCAGCAGCCGCGGUAAUACGUAGGGUACAAGCGUUGUCCGGAAUUAUUGGGCGUAAAGAGCUCGUAGGCGGUUCGUCGCGUCUGCUGUGGAAACGCAAGGCUCAACCUUGCGCGUGCAGUGGGUACGGGCGGACUAGAGUGCAGUAGGGGAGUCUGGAAUUCCUGGUGUAGCGGUGAAAUGCGCAGAUAUCAGGAGGAACACCGGUGGCGAAGGCGGUUCUCUGGGCAUUACCUGACGCUGAGGAGCGAAAGCAUGGGGAGCGAACAGGAUUAGAUACCCUGGUAGUCC
This 292-nucleotide ribosomal RNA is filed under the name uncultured microorganism. Its description in RNAcentral is "partial 16S ribosomal RNA". It matches the Rfam family "Bacterial small subunit ribosomal RNA", at positions 505 to 796 of the family's 1533-position model. The record is from RNAcentral.